UGGUGAGAUCAAUUGCCAAGAGUAGGAACUUUAGUUGUGAUAAGUGUGAAGGUGUUAGGAGAGGGUUUAAUCUGGCUAGUGUAGCAGGUGAAAUGGGAGGGAACACUGUGAGGGAGGUCUACCUAACAAGGAGAAAAUUGAGAGAAAUUCAGCCAGAAUGUAGCCCUACUUUCUUCUAAAUGGAAAUACUCAUCACUGUGAGAAUAGAGACAAACAGAAUGCAAGAAAGAAAAAUACAGUAACAGAUAGCAUUUAUCUAUUUAAGCAUUUUGCAUAUAUUAACUCAUAAAACGCUAUUAGAUAAAACACUAUUAGAUAAUACAGUAUUAUUCCUAUUUUACAGAAAGAAGCUCAAAGUUGUUAAAGCAAAAGAGAGGGACCUUACUAUUUUGCCCUUGUCUGCUUCCCCAGAAUUCUUUUGCCACUUACUACUUUGAACUUUCUGCAUGAACACCAUCAAAUGGUUUUCAGUUUCAUGCCAUGAUGAGCUAUUUCUUGCCUCUGUACCUUUGGUCAUGCCAAGAUUCUCAGUCCAUGACCCCUUUUCUUGACUCCCAUCCAUUCUUUAACCCUCAGAUUCUGUUACUUUCUCACAAUUUGUGGACAUUUCUCUCACGGUGUUAAAAUAUUCUGUUUCCUUACCUUCACCUGGACUGGACUGUGGGCAGGACAUAGAUUUCGUGUCUGUGGCAUAGGGCCUGGCCAAUACUAUAUAUAUUUUUCAACUCAACCACAAAUGAGUAAAUAUCUGCGAUAACUAGGUGAACAGAAAAUUCUCAGGGAUGAGGUUUAAAAUAGGGAAAGAGGAAAGAAGUAAAAACUCGUGGCAAAAUAGAACUUGCAUACUCUUUGCUUUCAAUUUAGGCUAGGGGUCAAACCAGAACUAUAGCUGCUGGCCUAUACCGCAGCCACAGCAAUGCGGGAUCUGAACUGCGCCUGCAACCUACACCACAGCUUUCAGCAACGCCGGAUCCCCAGUCCUCUGAGAGAGGCCAGGGAUUGAACCCGCAUCUUUGUGGAUACCAGUCAGAUUCAUUUCCGCUGCACCACAGUGGGAACUCCAAGGAAAAAAACAGCAUUUAAUAUGAGUUUGUAUACUACAGUCUAAGGAGAUUUUGUAUGAGUUCUGAGCGAUAUAGGUACUCAUAGGAAUGUAUCUCUAAUUUUUCCCCAUCUUAGUUAAUGGUGUUAACUUUUAAUGAUAACCUCUGCCCUUGGGUCUGCAGAAAUUCAAAACGGUUUGGGUAUUUUGAUGUGCAGGGAAAAAAAAUGGACACUUCCAAAAAAAUUUUUUUGACCACACCCAUGGCAUGUGGAAGUUCCUGGGUCGGGGAUUAAACCUGAGCCACAACAGUGACCAGAGGUGAUGCAUGGACAACACCGGAUCCUUAACGUGCUGUGCCAGAAGAGCACGCCUGUACACAUUAAAAAAAACCCAAAUCCUUAAGCUUUCUCUGCUUAUCUUUAGCACUUAUCUGUGGCUUUUGCAAUGCUAGCAUUACCAUAGUGAUAAAUAGGGGGUGAUGCUAUCCAUAAAGUUUCCUGCAUAGUUCAAUAAAAAUACCAGUAAUGACUAUUUUUUAUUGGUUAUGCCUGGCACCAUGCUAAGCAUUUCACAUACAUUAUUCCAAUUAAUUACAGUACCUCUAUGUUACAAAUCAGAAAUGUGAGGCCCAAGGCCACCCACUGACAGAGCCAGGAUUCUGACACCAGUAACUAUGCUCACCACACUACACAUUUGCUCUAAUUUAUUAAUUCCUUUAGGUCUUUCUCUUUCAAGUGGCUUUAGUCAAUACAGCCACUUGGGUUCUGCGCAUAUGCUGGAAAUAGCAUGGUCUGUUAAUUCUAACCCUCCACUGACUGUAUCAGGCAGUUCCUAGUUUUAAGCUCGGGCUCAAAGUGUAGACUCUUUUAUGAGAUUUCUGGCAGAAGCAGGUGAAAGGAAGAAUUCAAAACCAUUUCCUUUGUUGGGAGAGACACAUCAAGUAGUUGGGAGGGAGUGGGGCUGUUCCAUUCAGCCCUCAGUCUAGUCUCUUGGAGAGCAGCACUGAAGUCUCUCCCAUAAUUGCCUGCCUGGAAGGUGGAAAAUGGGAUAAGUGAUGUCACCGCAAAUGCAGACAUGCUGAACCCAAUAUUGCACAUCAGUGAAAUGGCUCAGGGAUUAGCUAGGCAUCCUCAACCCAUUUUCACAUUUAGUUUUCCUUCAAAGGAGAACUAUAUAAAAUAUACAACAAUAACCCAUGGCUUAUUUUAAAGUGCUUUCUUCUGACAGUCCUUAGUAGCACAUGAUUAGAGUUAAAAACCGAGAAACUAAUCCUUCUUCAGCUGCUGACCUGCAGUGUGAAAUGCAGUCAGGUAACCUACUCCAGGGCUGACCAAGGCACAGGUAUUUAUUAAGUAUCUAUUAACAGUCCAGCAUGAAUUUUUAUGCUUUGGGUAUCAAAAGAAUAUUGAAAGCUAGGUUUCAGCUUACCCUGAGCACCACACAAGUCAAAAUAAUGAAUUUCAGUGGUUAAAUGACUGGUAUAAACUACGGCAGUUGGGAUGACAAAUAAAUGAAUGACAGCUGGACUGGUCAAGCAUAGUGAGCAAUUGCUCUGACUGCCCACAAUCUACUUGUUUUUCCUCUAAUAACAUAAUACAUAUUUUGCUCUGAGAAGUCAUGCAUCCCCACUCUAAGUCCGCUUAGUUUGGGUGAUGACUAAGACAGGAAUGGGAGCAUGACUGACUAUAGCCAGUGAGAUUUUAAAAAUAUUCCUGUAUUGCCUAUGGCUGAAAGGAGACUUACACAUGGACUUUUCAGUUAGCUGAAACAAGAAAUUUCUUUUUUCUUAAGCCAGUUUGCUUUGGCUUGUUUGCUACUUGCAACCAAAAUAUUGCUAACGGGUUUUCUGCUUCUAGAUAGGGUAGACUUCUGCUUCUCAGAAGGAUACAGUAGAAGCUGACAGGGUAAUGUUCCCACUGCAACAACUUGAAACCAACAGAUAAAUUGCAAACUUCAUAUUUCUGAAUGCAUGGGGGAAAUGUAGAAGUAACAGAGAUGAGAUAAACCCUAAAUCUUGAGAGGUGAGAAGCUGACUACUCUAGUCAUUUUUCAACCUGAGUCAUCUGCCAAUUUUGAGCAUGACCUGAGGAGCAGGCUUGCUGAUGAAGCAGAACUCUGCUGGGAGUAAGAGUGACCACCUGAGCUUUUAGCAGUUACAGGGGGCUGAUAUGGCAGUUUGGAAGCUUGAAGAGACUCAAAUACUUAUUGUUUCCAGAUAGGUUCUAGAGCUGCAGGGGAACUAAGCUAAAAGCUUCUAAAAUGCAGAGUAAAUUAUCUAGAGUUUCUUGGUGCUUAGGAACUAAGAUCUGCCAGUGAGAGAGCUUGCAUCAAGAAAAUUUACUUAGGGUCUAGAGAUUGACUGAAACUUACAGAGAGCAGAGAUGGAAACCAGUACUGUUCUGGGGCUCAGGAAAUAUUUCUGACAGGGAUAUACAUGUCCCUGACAGAAUAUAUAAAUAUAUAUAUUUGUCUCUUUUUUUAGGGCUGCACCCAUGGUAUAUGGAGGUUCCCAGGCUAGCCACAACCACAGCAACACAGCUAUACCACAGCUUACAGCAACACCGGAUCCUUAACCCACUGAACGGGGCCAAGGAUAGAACCUGUGCCCUCAUGGAUGCUAGUCAGAUUCAUUUCUGCUGAGCCAUGAUGGGAAUUCCUGUCAGGGUUAUAUUAAAAAAUCUAGGAGAUUUAGGCUCUUGCACCAGUGAAAAUCAGGAAUGGACUUAAUAUUAUAAAUAUUGCGAUCUAGUUUUGUUCCUAAUGAAUUUCUAAAUGGGUUAAGAUGAUUGUAUUUUGCUAUAUUUGCAUAAUUAUGAAGAAAACACUAUGGUGAAAGAUAAAAUAAUCUGGACCCUCUUUUUUUUUAAAAUUGAAGUAUAGUUGAUUCACAAUAUUGUGUUAGUUUCAGGUUAUAGCAAGGUGAUUCAGUUAUAUAUUUCUUUAGAUUAUUUUCCAUUAUAGGUUAUUAUAAGAUAUUGAAUAUAGUUCCCUGUGUUAUACAGUAAACUCUUGUUGCUUAUCUAUUUUAUGUACAGCAGUUUUUAUCUUUCAGUCCCUUAAUCCAAUUUAUCCCCCCCAUUUCCCUUAGGUAACCAUAAGUUUGUUUUCUAUACUUGUAAAACUGUUCUUUAUUUUGUAUAUAGACUCAUUUGUAUUAUAUUCAGAUUCUAAAAAUAAGUGAUAUCGUAUAAUAUUUGUUUUUCUCUGAUUUUCUUCACUUAUAAUAAUCUCUGGGUCUAUUUAUGUUGCUGCAAAUGGCAAUGUUUCAUUUUUUAUUGGUUAGUAAUAUUCCAUUGUAUAUAUGUAUGUAAAUAUACAUACAUGCAUACACAUACACAAGAUUGCUUUGGCAGUUCUGGGUCUUUGUGGUUCCAUAUAAAUUUUAGUAUUAUUUAUUCUAGUUCUGUGGAAAUACAUUAUGCGUUUUUUUGAUAGGGAUCACAUUAAAUGUGUGGUUGCUCUGGAGGUAGUAUGACCAUUUUAAGAAUAAUUCUUCCGGAGAUCCCGUCGUGGCGCAGUGGUUAACGAAUCCGAACCAUGAGGUUGUGGGUUCGGUCUCUGGCCUUGCUCAGUGGGUUAAUGAUCCUGCGUUGCCGUGAACUGUGGUGUAGCUUGUAGACGCGGCUCGGAUCCCGCGUUGCUGUGGCCCUGGUGUAGGCCCGUGGCUACAGCUCCAAUUCGACCCCUAGCCUGAGAACCUCCAUAUGCCGCGGGAGCGGCCCAAGAAAUAGCAAAAAGACAAAAAAAAAAAAAAAA
RNAcentral lists this long non-coding RNA (4801 nucleotides) under Sus scrofa (pig). RNAcentral describes it as "lncRNA (ENSSSCG00040073190.1)". Lineage: Eukaryota; Metazoa; Chordata; Mammalia; Artiodactyla; Suidae. The record is from RNAcentral.